RNAcentral lists this ribosomal RNA (575 nucleotides) under uncultured bacterium. RNAcentral describes it as "bacterial SSU rRNA". It matches the Rfam family "Bacterial small subunit ribosomal RNA", at positions 74 to 630 of the family's 1533-position model. The record is from RNAcentral.
UAGACUUCGGUCUAUGAGUAGAGCGGCGCACGGGUGAGUAACGCGUGGAUGAUCUACCCUUGAGUUCGGGAUAACGGUGCGAAAGCGCCGCUAAUACCGUAUAACAAUCCAUUUCAUCGUGGGUUCAAAGCAGGCCUCUUCGUGAAAGCUUGCGCUUGGGGAUGAGUCCGCGUCCCAUUAGCUUGUUGGCGGGGUAACGGCCCACCAAGGCUACGAUGGGUAGCUGGUCUGAGAGGAUGAUCAGCCACACUGGAACUGAAACACGGUCCAGACUCCUACGGGAGGCAGCAGUGGGGAAUAUUGCGCAAUGGGGGAAACCCUGACGCAGCGACGUCGUGUGAGGGAAGAAGGCCUUCGGGUCGUAAACCUCUGUCAGAAGGGAAGAACAUCCGGGAGUCGAACAGCCUCCCGGCCUGACGGUACCUUCAGAGGAAGCGCCGGCUAACUCCGUGCCAGCAGCCGCGGUAAUACGGAGGGCGCAAGCGUUAAUCGGAAUCACUGGGCGUAAAGCGUGCGUAGGCUGUUUGAUAAGUCAGGCGUGAAAUCCCUCGGCUCAACCGGGGAACUGCGUUUGA